GUAAACACUCCGGAGCGUGCACCCGCGUGCGGUGCGCGCACGUGCGUCCGCGACCCCCUGCGGGCGUGGGCCGCUCCAGGCCUGGCGGAGUCCCACGUAGGCUUCCCUAGUGCGGCGCAACCGUGGCAGGACAACGUUAGAUCCUAACUCCAGCUGUAGUUUCUCCGUCCGACGUCAUGUUUUAAACACCGUGAGACCGGAGGCUGCCGUACAAAAAACCAAGCGGACAGGUUGAGUGGGAAAAAAAUGUCUCUACACCGAGAGAAAUGCAUCAGCGUGAACGUUGUGUGUGCUCAAGAUUUAAAAAUGGAAAUACUGCUAAGCUGUUUCCCAUUAAAAAAAAAAAAACGAUUCGUUAAAAAUGGGGCCAGAAUUGCCCAGGACGCCGCGUUUCGUUUGCACUAUGGAUUGCCUUGUAGGAGUGAGAAAUAGUAGAGAUGGGAAAACGGAUCUGUGGAGCGGCGUGGAAGGCUUAGAGUAGCCUGUCAGGCGCUGAGCUGCUCGGAGCCUGGAAUCCGAGCGCACUUUGCGAUCAGUUCUUUCCAUUCUCAACAGUUUCAAUGCUGGGCAAAAAGAAUACACUUGUUUCUAGAGGUCCUGUUCACCUUCCUGCCACCCAAUAGCCAGGCUAUUAACAUUGAACUGGGCUUCGCAUCUGGAUCAAACUUUGAUCGUCUAGUGCAUAUUAUAGCUGUAAUCAUUUGUUUGUUUGUUUAUUUGCAGUGGCUAAAGUUGAAUCGUUGAAUCAUUUGAAUUGAUUGCAAGUUUAAUCCCUUGCAGGCCUUUUCAGCUUUAUUAUAUGUACAGUCAAAGGAAGCUUGGAGCAGGGAAGAAAGCUGCCAUAUGAAAGGUAAGCUACAAAUUAAAAGGAGAGAGGAAAUUGGGGUUUCUAGACAAAUUAAAUUACUUGUCGUUGUGGUAUAUUGAACCCAGAACUGCACACACAGCUAAGCUAACACUCCACCACUGAGUUUUAUCCCUAGACGGAAUCGUUUUUAAAGAUUUUUUUUAAGAAAUGUUUUUUGUUUGUAUUCGUGUCCGCAUGAGUUUAUGUACACCAUGUACGUGGAGAUACCUGAGAAGGCCAGAAGGUGUUCAGUCCCCUAGAUUGAGGUUACAGGCAAUUGUGAGCUGCCAUGUGGGCACUGGAAAUCAACUCCAGUUUCCUGCAAGAACAGUGCUCUGAAUCGCUAAGCCAGCUCUCCAGCCCCUGGACCUGGCUUUUAAAUAUAAACUUUUAAAAUAAAGCCUUUUUCUUUUGAUACUAGAAUAAGAAAAGUAUUCAUCUAAAAAAAUUAAACGUUAUAUUAUUGUUGCUAUGGUUAAAAUAGAGGAAUGGGCAUGGAACCAGGUAUAGUGGCCCAUACCUUUAAUACCAGGACUAGAAAGACAGGCAGAUGGAUCUCUAUGAGUUUGGGGACAGCAUGGUCUGCAUAAGACAACCCAACCAAGACUACAUAGUGAGACCCUGUCUUUCAAAAAAAAAAAAAAUUAGGGCUAUACAUAAUGAAACUUAUGAUACUUGGCUUCAGGUGUGUAGUUAUUCAUGUAAUUCAUAAAUUAAGAGAUGAUAGAACUUAAUAAAAAAUUGUAAAAUAUAGCUCAAAAUCAAAUGGGCUUGAUGAUACAACCCUAUAACCCAGUACUUGGGAGGAGGAAGCAGGAGGAUGAGUAGUAGUUCAAAGACAUUUCUCACUCUGUAGUGGAAUGGAAGCCAGCCUAGGAAAUGCAUAGCACCCUAUCUCAAAAAUAAUAAUACAAAGACUGAAGAGAUGGCUCAGCCCUUAAGAUCCUGUACUGCUGGUGCAGAGGACCUGGGUUCCAUUCCUAGAAUCCAGAUAAGGCAGUUCACAGUUACCUAUGACACCAGUUCUGAAGGAAUCUUUCUGCUGCUGUUGCACCUGUAUUCAUGUGCAUAGACAGACACAUACACAUACAAACAAAUCCUAGAAAGGUAAGAGGUAGGGGUGGGUGGCUAGUAAGCUCAGUGGCUAAGAGCAUUGGCUGCUCUUCCAGAAGACCCAGGUUCAGUCUUGCCCAUGGAGGCUCACUACUCUGUAACUUCAGUUCCACGGGAUAUGACACCAUCUUCUCACCUCCGUGGACAGCAGACAUGCACAUGGUGCACAGACAAACAUACCAUAAAUAUACAUUGUUUAUUAAAGAGAUUUAAAAAUACAAGAUUCAGCCGGGCAGUGGUGCACAUACCUUUAAUCCCAGCACUUGGGACACUGAGGCAGGUGGACCUCUGUGAGUUUGAGGUCAGCCCGGUUGGCAAAGCAAGUUUCUGGACAGCCAAGAUUACAAACAAAAGAAAAAGAAAAAGCAUAAACCACCAAAAUAUGGAUGCUUUGCACAAUUGAACUUAGUUCGUAUUUUUGAAAACAUGAAAUAUUCUACAUUGUUUUUGGUAUGUCAUUUCUAUUUUUGCAUGUGUUGUAUUAAAUAUAAACAUUUUAGGGGAAAAGGAAAAUUUUUAUUAAAUGAGUUUAAAAACACAAGAUUGAGCCAGGCAGUGGCAUACAUACCCUUAAUCCGAGUACUUAGGAGGCAGAGGCAGACAGAUCUCUAAGUCUGAGGCCUCAAAGUGAAGCACCAGAAAGACUAGAGGGAAGCUCGAUGUGGUGGUACCCAUACAAUCUUUCUGAACAACCAAGCCAGGUAUAAUAAUGCAUGCCUCUAAUCCCAGGGCAGAGGCAGUCAGAGCUCUGUGAAUUUGAGGCCAUUCAGGGUUAUAUAGUGAAACCCUGUCCAAAAAAAAAAAAAAAAAAAAAAAAGUCUCCAUUCUAAUAAAUAUAUUUUCAUCUUUUUCUUUUUCCCAUUUCUCUUUUUGAGAUUGAUCUCAAACUCACAGAACUCAAACAUGACCUUUAUGUACCAUCAUGCCUGUCCUAACAACGCAUUAUAAUAUAUGUACUAUUUUUAAAAUGUAACAGAUAUAAAAUAACUAUAGCAGCCACCUCUAAAGAACUGCUGUGCAAAGGUCUUUUCAUUUUCAUACCACAUUUUUCUAAAAUAUUGCACUCUUUCAUGGCACAGCUAGUACUCUCUUAAUCAUACAUAAAUAAAUAUAUACAUAUAUUUUUUAUGUGCUGGAGGAUGAGGAAAAAACAUUACUGGCAACACAGAAAAAAAAAAUCUCAGGAAACAAUAAGCAGGAGUGAUUCUCCAAGAGUCUCACAGCGCAGGGACUCCAUUCAAAUUCAUAAUCCAGAUCCCAUCUUCCCAACUGAUGAUUGAUAGAUGCCACUGAGUGUCUUUGGUAAAGUGCAAUUUGUUUUGCUUUUAGUGAAUAUGAAAGCAUCCAUACGGCUCUCUACAGGUCCACCAUGACUGCUGUCCUGUUUUUCCUUGAAAGCUGAGUCUAAAGUUCCUUGAAGAACUCGUUACAUUCCUUGUUUAUCCUGGGUUUGUUUGCUUUGCAGUCAGUGCUGAGGACCAGACCAAGGGCUCUGUGCAUGUUGGGCAACUGUCUACUGCUGAGCUCAUAUCUUUUUGUAUUGAUAUGUUUACUGUUAAAGUUGCACUUUGCUAGGGAUGUAGUUCAGUGGUAGAACCCUUACAUAAGCCAAGGACAUAAAUUCAUUCCCAUCACUGGAGAAAAGAUACGUUAUGUGUAUUACUUUGCAUAAGAUAUGUCAGUAGGGUAUACACAUAUGCCUAUGUAUGUACAUUUUAAGGAAGAAGCAGAAGAAAAUAGAGCAUCUUCAAAAGGGAAUGGAUUGGAGACAUUGCUCAGUGGUUAAGAGCACUGGCUGUUCGUGCAGAGAAAUAGUGUGUGAUCCAUCACCCCCAUGGCAGCUUGCAACUAUCUUUUAACUCUAGAUCUAUGGGGUUCAAUGCCCUCUUUUGGCCUCUGAGGGCACUAAGCAUACCUUUGGUGCACAGACAUACAAGUAGUCAAACACUUAGACACACAAAAUUUUAAAAUUCAUAAUCUUUUUUGUUCAUAAGAGAGAGACAGGGUCUCAUCGUGUAGCUCUUUUUUUUUUGUCCUAGAACUUGCUAUGUAGACCAGAUUGGCCUAAAAUUCAGAGAUCUGCCUGCUUUUACCUCCCAGAGCUGGGAUUUAAGACAAGCACAACCACAUGGUAAAAUACCCUGCCUCCAUCUUUGGCUUAAAAGCCAUUUUAUAGUAAAGACAAACUAGAUUCAUUUCUGUUUAUGAUUAAAUCUUUGCUUCUCAAGGAUUGGGCUAUGUCCCACCUGUAACCUUAGCUCCAAAAGGUUCUGUAGUGCCUGUUCCAGGAAAUGACAACCAUGUCUUUGUUCAAAAAGUUGUUAACGACCAUCUUGUAACACUCACUUUGUUUCAAAAGGUUGUAUGCCUACCUGUUGUUAUGCCCACUUUGCAAUCAUGUUUCUGUUUCAGGAAGUCAUUCCGGCUAACCUGUUAUGCUUGUGUUCUGUUCCUAUAACCUCAUCUAUUUUGCCCUCCAAAUCCCACAUUUGAAACCCCCUACCCAUGGACUAUAAGACUUUGUCUUCCGCCAGGCGUGGUGGCGCAUGCCUUUAAUUGCAGCACUCCAGAGGCAGAGGCAGGCGGAUUUCUGAGUUCCAGGCCAGCCUGGUCUACAAAGUAAAGACUUCGUCUUCCUCACAUCCAGUGCUGACAUCGUGAACCCUGUCUUACAGGGAGGCAGCCCAUGUACACAAAUAAAAAGGCUUGAUUUAAUU
RNAcentral lists this long non-coding RNA (4677 nucleotides) under Mus musculus (house mouse). RNAcentral describes it as "RIKEN cDNA 4831440E17 gene (4831440E17Rik)". Lineage: Eukaryota; Metazoa; Chordata; Mammalia; Rodentia; Muridae. The record is from RNAcentral.